GUUGUAGAUACAUGUAUUUGUUUUUUAAAAAUUAUUUAACCAGCAUAUAGAAUGUCAUUGGGGGGUUUAAUCCAUUCACAUUGUUGAUAGGUAAGAAUUUAGUAUUGUCAUUUUGUCUAUUAUUUUCUAUCCUGUAAUUAUUUUCUUCAUUUUCUCUUGAGUCUUUUCUGAUUAUGUUUUAUGGGUAUAUGUUUGGUUUGUUUAUACUUUCUCUUUCUUUUUUCUUUUUGUGACACUGAAGAUUGAACCAGGGCCUUGUGUAUGCUAGGUCCAACAAAUGCUCCACAUGAGACAAGAAAGAAUACAAAAUUAUGUUUCAGUCUCUAAACAGGGAUUGAACUCGGGACCUUGGGCUUGUGAGGCAGGUGGUGGAACCACUGAGAGUCUCAUGAGGAUGCAAGUAAGAAAAAGUGCUGCAGUCAUUUCUAGGUCCUACCAGGGUGUUGAUCUUGAAAGGGAAUUUGUAGGCAGGAAGAUAUAUUUCUAACAAAAAAUAACUAAAUUAGACAACCAUGAGUUAUCUGUGUUAUUAAGCAACUAUCUGUUAACUGGGUAACUAUGCUCUAUGUAGAAUGUACCUGAAUAUCUAUGACAGCUUCUGCAAUUUGUCACCACAGGAACAUAAUGAACUCAGAAUGUCUUCCUAGAACUCUUUGCUGUAACCCCCUCCACCUCCCACUGCUCUGCUUUGUGUAAACUCUGCUUGCUAUAUUCCCAGGGAAACUCCAAUGGAAUUAAAACUCAUAGAUGUAAAAAAUGUCAAAUAACUAACCAACCAAAGACUUCUAAAUGCUCUGCUUCUGCUUCUGUACCUCCUGCUUGCAACCCUAUAAAACUGCUGGCCCACUGAUAUUUUGGUCCUGACUUCUUUGGGAGUGAUCUCAGUCAGGUCUGUCAAUGUAAUAAACAAG
RNAcentral lists this long non-coding RNA (911 nucleotides) under Heterocephalus glaber (naked mole-rat). RNAcentral's name for it is "lncRNA (ENSHGLG00100034766.1)". Lineage: Eukaryota; Metazoa; Chordata; Mammalia; Rodentia; Bathyergidae. The record is from RNAcentral.